This 450-nucleotide ribosomal RNA is filed under the name uncultured bacterium. RNAcentral describes it as "bacterial SSU rRNA". It matches the Rfam family "Bacterial small subunit ribosomal RNA", at positions 329 to 793 of the family's 1533-position model. The record is from RNAcentral.
GGCCAGACUCCUACGGGAGGCAGCAGUGGGGAAUAUUGGGCAAUGGGCGCAAGCCUGACCCAGCAACGCCGCGUGAAGGAAGAAGGCUUUCGGGUUGUAAACUUCUUUUCUCAGGGACGAAGAAAGUGACGGUACCUGAGUAAGAAGCCCCGGCUAACUACGUGCCAGCAGCCGCGGUAAUACGUAGGGGGCAAGCGUUAUCCGGAUUUACUGGGUGUAAAGGGAGCGUAGACGGAUGGAUAAGUCUGAAGUGAAAGCCCGCGGCUCAACGGCGGGUAUGCUUUGGAAACUGUGCAUCUUGAGUACGGGAGGGGCAGGCGGAAUUCCUGGUGUAGCGGUGAAAUGCGUAGAUAUCAGGAGGAACACCGGCGGUGAAGGCGGCCUGCUGGACCGAAACUGACGUUGAGGCUCGAAAGCGUGGGGAGCACACAGGAUUAGAUACCCGCGUAU